Molecule: ribosomal RNA, 253 nt
Filed under: uncultured bacterium
Lineage: Bacteria
Description: partial 16S ribosomal RNA
Rfam family: Bacterial small subunit ribosomal RNA
Source: RNAcentral
UACGUAGGGUGCGAGCGUUAAUCGGAAUUACUGGGCGUAAAGCGUGCGCAGGCGGUGGCUCAAGCCAGGCGUGAAAUCCCCGGGCUCAACCUGGGAAUUGCGAUGGAGACUGCAAGGCUAGAAUCUGGCAGAGGGGGGUAGAAUUCCACGUGUAGCAGUGAAAUGCGUAGAGAUGUGGAGGAACACCGAUGGCGAAGGCAGCCCCCUGGGUCAAGAUUGACGCUCAUGCACGAAAGCGUGGGGAGCAAACAGG